Non-coding RNA from Felis catus (domestic cat), 73 nucleotides. The record is from Rfam. Lineage: Eukaryota; Metazoa; Chordata; Mammalia; Carnivora; Felidae.
GCCUGACUGGCUUAGUUGGUAGAGCAUGUGACUCUUGAUCUCAGGGUCAUGAGUUUAAGCCCCAUGUUGAGCG